GAAGGUAUAGCUCAGUGGUAGAGUACAUGCUUAGCAUGCUCGAGGUCCCGGGUUCAAGACCCACUACCUUCA
RNAcentral lists this transfer RNA (72 nucleotides) under Camelus bactrianus (Bactrian camel). It matches the Rfam family "tRNA". Rfam says of the family: Transfer RNA (tRNA) molecules are approximately 80 nucleotides in length. Lineage: Eukaryota; Metazoa; Chordata; Mammalia; Artiodactyla; Camelidae. The record is from Rfam by way of RNAcentral. RNAcentral also lists the same sequence under 1 other name.